Molecule: ribosomal RNA, 253 nt
Filed under: uncultured bacterium
Lineage: Bacteria
Description: partial 16S ribosomal RNA
Rfam family: Bacterial small subunit ribosomal RNA
Source: RNAcentral
UACAGAGGCCUCGAGCGUUAAUCGGAAUCACUGGGCUUAAAGGGUGCGUAGGCGGCGCUGCAAGUGCCUUGUGAAAUCCCAUCGCUUAACGAUGGAACUGCUCGGUAGACUGCAGUGCUUGAGGUUGGUAGGGGCUGCCGGAACUCUAGGUGGAGCGGUGAAAUGCGUAGAUAUCAGGAGGAACACCGGUGGCGAAGGCGGAUCUCUGGGCCUUACCUGACGCUGAGGCGCGAAAGCUAGGGGAGCAAACAGG